AGGAAUCUGCCUGGUAGUGGGGGACAACGUUUCGAAAGGAACGCUAAUACCGCAUAACGUCGCAAGACCAAAGUGGGGGACCUUCGGGCCUCGCACCAUCGGAUGUGCCCAGAUGGGAUUAGCUAGUAGGUGGGGUAAUGGCUCACCUAGGCGACGAUCCCUAGCUGGUCUGAGAGGAUGACCAGCCACACUGGAACUGAGACACGGUCCAGACUCCUACGGGAGGCAGCAGUGGGGAAUAUUGCACAAUGGGCGCAAGCCUGAUGCAGCCAUGCCGCGUGUAUGAAGAAGGCCUUCGGGUUGUAAAGUACUUUCAGCGGGGAGGAAGGCGGUGAAGUUAAUAGCUUCACCGAUUGACGUUACCCGCAGAAGAAGCACCGGCUAACUCCGUGCCAGCAGCCGCGGUAAUACGGAGGGUGCAAGCGUUAAUCGGAAUUACUGGGCGUAAAGCGCACGCAGGCGGUCUGUCAAGUCGGAUGUGAAAUCCCCGGGCUUAACCUGGGAACUGCAUUCGAAACUGGCAGGCUAGAGUCUUGUAGAGGGGGGUAGAAUUCCAGGU
Molecule: ribosomal RNA, 559 nt
Filed under: uncultured bacterium
Lineage: Bacteria
Description: bacterial SSU rRNA
Rfam family: Bacterial small subunit ribosomal RNA
Source: RNAcentral